UACAGGGGGGGCAAGCGUUGUUCGGAAUUACUGGGCGUAAAGGGCCAGUAGGCGGCCAACUAAGUCCGACGUGAAAUCCCAAAGCUUAACUUUGGAACUGCGUCGGAUACUGGAUGGCUUGAAUUCGGGAGAGGGAUGCAGAAUUCCAGGUGUAGCGGUGAAAUGCGUAGAUAUCUGGAGGAAUACCGGUGGCGAAGGCGGCAUCCUGGACCGAUAUUGACACUGAUGAGCGAAAGCUAGGGGAGCAAACGGG
RNAcentral lists this ribosomal RNA (253 nucleotides) under uncultured bacterium. RNAcentral describes it as "partial 16S ribosomal RNA". It matches the Rfam family "Bacterial small subunit ribosomal RNA", at positions 524 to 776 of the family's 1533-position model. The record is from RNAcentral.